RNAcentral lists this unclassified non-coding RNA (293 nucleotides) under rhizosphere metagenome. RNAcentral describes it as "partial ribosomal RNA internal transcribed spacer region". The record is from RNAcentral.
GUAGGUGAACCUGCGGAAGGAUCAUUAUUGAAUAAACUUGGUCGAGCUGUUGCUGGUCCUUCGGGGCAUGUGCACGCUUGCCACCAAAUUUAACCACCUGUGCACCUCUUGUAGACUGAAAAACUUAUUCUCGAGGUAACUCGGAUUGAGGACUGCUGCGCGCAAGCCAAGCUGUUCUUGUGUUUUCUCAGUCUAUGUUUCUACAUACCCCGAACGAAUGUAAUAGAAUGUUUUGUUAGGCCUUAGCGCCUUUAAAUCAAAUACAACUUUCAACAACGGAUCUCUUGGCUCUC